GGAGGUGUUAAAGGGCAGGAGCUGGCUGGAGGCAGCCUGGUAGUGUCUCUGUGGGCCUGUGCCUUGCUGGUGCCCUCCUGUGGGAGGUGAGGUUGGCAAUGGCUGCUCUGUGCCCAUGGCUCUGGAUGGAGGAGGUUGUGUGCCUGGUGCUGGGGAGAUUGGGGCACUACUUCAGCGAUCCCAAUGGUCCUGGCCUCUCAUUAGCGCUGAUGAGAGCUAAGGGUGAAGCCUCUGAGCACCCACUAAGACAGAAGAGGAAGGGGUGGACAGACUAUUGCUGCUGGGAGACCAGCAGUUCUGUCCUCCUUAGGUGGAUAACUUGACCAGGAUUCAUCAGAACUGAUGUCUGGCAGCAGG
Pogoniulus pusillus (Red-fronted tinkerbird) is the source of this 357-nucleotide long non-coding RNA. RefSeq lists it as uncharacterized. NCBI's taxonomy places the organism in Eukaryota, Metazoa, Chordata, Aves, Piciformes, Lybiidae. The record is from RefSeq and is a predicted model, not a curated record. The transcript is spliced from 3 exons.